ACAUCCGCUGCUCCUCCUCGUGCACCAGGCGCGUGAAGAUGUUGAUCCUCCUCUUCUCCCUUCGCUUGGUGCGGAAGUAGCCGAACAGGAUGCCGCAAAGGAAGAUUCCGUAGAAAGACAUGACUAUUAAUAUGUAGAGGUUUUUUGCCGCCUUAUGGGUGAAGUUCUCUCCUUCUUUUCGCAACGUGACACCCAAGUGACUAAUCUAAUUCGCCCGGCUGAACUCCACCCAUUCCACCAGACCCAGCCGACGAUAAGAUUGACAUCACUGGGAAUUUACACUUCAAAGCUGCAAUCACGGGCACCCGUCCUCGUGGAACUGCCCGAUGUCGCCGGUGCAGAACCACCGCUGCCCGUCCUCGUCCACAAAGAAGUCCUCCUGGUUCCUGGCCUCGCUCUUGUAGUAUCCCAUGGUGACGUUCGGGCCACCGAUCAGGAUCUCCCCCCGGGGACGCGGCUUGUCUGUGCUGCGGUAACCGCCUGAAAGCAGGGUGCAGCGUCACAGCAUACGAAGCAGACCCCAAAGAGGCAGUAAAACACAGAGAACGGACCCUGAGUCUGAAACAGUCGCUUUUAUAGUUAAAAGCCUGGCGCCGGGUUCACUGCAAAGGUACAGUAUAAAAGAGUGUAAUGAGAUGAUUGUCUAACAAGAUGAGAGCUUGUCUCAUUUUAUUAAGGAUAUGAGGCAGAUCUAAUAACUACUACUGAAAUGAAAAUAUGAAAUAUGGAAACUAAUGCUGGAUAGACUGGUAAAAAAUGUGUGAAGACAUGAUGAAAGUGAUUUAUGUCCCUGUGAACAUUACCGUGUGUGUGUGUGCAUGUGUACUGUAUGUGUGUGUCCCAUGUAUAUGUGUGUGUGCGUUUACAAAUGUGUGUGCGUUUACAUAUGUGUGUGCGUGUAUAUGUGUGUGCGUGUAUAUGUGUGUGUGUGUGUGUGUGUGUGUGUGUGUGUGUGUGUGUGUGUGUGUGUGUGUGUCCCACUCACCCUCCACCCAGUCUUUGAGCUUUAUCUCACAGCACACCAGUGGUCCUCCCACUCUCCCAGUGCUGUAAUCCCACACUGGAGGAGACGACACACACAGUCAGGGAACACACCAGCAUCGCAGCACCACUUUUACCAUAGCAACUCGAUCUCGCUCGCUCCCUCACCAUGGAAACCCUAUCCCAGAGGAAGGUCCGUAGAACGGAGCCUAGCGGGGAGGAUUCCCACUGAUCGACUAUGGAGGACGUUUGCAUUGACGCUAUGGAACAAGUUCUCACUCACAGUACGUCCCAGAUUCUGGGAGGCUAAAACUGUUUCGCUAACAGGGAUCUCUAAGUACGAUCACAUGUUGCUUCUGUUGAUUUUUCCACAGCGCUGAUCCACUUUUUACCUCCUCCCUCCGGUCUCUGCACCCACGCACAUUACACUGUCUACUUAACUUAUCGCGCUACGUUCCUCCCUCCUUGCUGAGCCUUUCCACGUCCUCCCACCGAUUUAUCUGGGCGAAAUCACUUCCUGUUCUUACUCAACAUCGUGCAACUUUUCCCGUCAGGCUAAGGCUUUCAUCUUAUCGAGCUUCUUUUAAAAAGUUUAAUCUGAGAAUAAAUGAGUGUGUCAGAA
Betta splendens (Siamese fighting fish) is the source of this 1603-nucleotide long non-coding RNA. RefSeq lists it as uncharacterized. NCBI's taxonomy places the organism in Eukaryota, Metazoa, Chordata, Actinopteri, Anabantiformes, Osphronemidae. The transcript has 3 exons. The record is from RefSeq and is a predicted model, not a curated record.